RNAcentral lists this transfer RNA (74 nucleotides) under Cupriavidus metallidurans CH34. Its description in RNAcentral is "tRNA-Leu (CAA) (tRNA-Leu-CAA-2-1)". It matches the Rfam family "tRNA", at positions 9 to 71 of the family's 71-position model. Rfam says of the family: Transfer RNA (tRNA) molecules are approximately 80 nucleotides in length. Their secondary structure includes four short double-helical elements and three loops (D, anti-codon, and T loops). Lineage: Bacteria; Pseudomonadati; Pseudomonadota; Betaproteobacteria; Burkholderiales; Burkholderiaceae. The record is from RNAcentral.
AGCAGGAAGUAACGCAGGGGACUCAAAAUCCCCCGCCGCAAGGCGUGUCGGUUCGAGUCCGACCCCGGGCACCA